Molecule: long non-coding RNA, 702 nt
Organism: Orcinus orca (killer whale)
Lineage: Eukaryota; Metazoa; Chordata; Mammalia; Artiodactyla; Delphinidae
Exons: 3
Source: RefSeq, a predicted model, not a curated record
UAAAGCCUCGCUCCUCAAGUCCCCCGUUGCCUGAAGAGAAGCCAGCCCCCGGGCAGUGGCCUCCUCAGGGAAGCGGGCAGCCCAUCAGCGGCUCUGCCUGUACUCCCGAGACUGCAGGAGAGGCAAAUCAGGUCAAACGCUGGCCCUCGGCCCGGCCCAGAGGGAAGUUCCUGCACUGAGAGAAAUGGAGGGAAACUGCCCCUCACCCAGGCCUGCCGUUCUGCGCCCUAAGGAGAGAGAACCCCACAGCCUCAUGCUCUUCCUGGGGCGCCCUGUGAGGUGUCUACCCGGGAUGUGGACAUCCAGCUACAAUUCGUGGUUUCAUUUGACUUCCGUGGAGUCCAAGCAUGUGGUUUCCAGGCUUCUGCCAGGCGCCGGACACCCGCAGCCCCAGCCCAGAUGCCACCCUGAGCUCUGGGAAUGGCAGAUGCUGGGCCCCUCGAAGGGGGAGGCUGUGUGGAGGCUGGCCCUCUCCCUGGGCCAGAGCAGCUGGAACUCCACAAGCGGGAGAGCCAGGCCCGGAGCCCCAGGAAAACUCGGUGGGAAAGACUUCAGGGCGCUGCCCUGAACAAUGACGACGAUCCCAGCUCUGAGGUCUGGCCACAGUCCUAAAACCAGCUUCCCAAUCUCUGGCCCCCUCUCUUUCUCCCUCCUUCCUGAACACGAGAAGACGGCAUCUCCCCCUGCUGGGGGGAGCGGGAA